This 505-nucleotide long non-coding RNA is filed under the name Homo sapiens (human). Its description in RNAcentral is "HSALNT0258899". The record is from RNAcentral. Lineage: Eukaryota; Metazoa; Chordata; Mammalia; Primates; Hominidae.
GCCGGCCACUGCCUCUGCUCUGCUCCUGCUCCUGCUGGGCCUGGCCUGGACCCAGGGGAGCCACGGCUGGGGUGCGGACGCGUCAUCACUGCAGAAACGUGCAGGCAGAGACGAUCAGCCGGGUGCAGGAUGGCAGGAGGUGGCAGCUGUAACUUCCAAGAACUACAAUUACAACCAGCAUGCGUAUCCCACUGCCUAUGGUGGGAAGUACUCAGUCAAGACCCCUGCAAAGGGGGGAGUCUCACCUUCUUCCUCGGCUUCCCGGGUGCAACCUGGCCUGCUGCAGUGGGUGAAGUUUUGGUAGGCAAUUUCUUGCAACCACCACCGAGGCCCCGAAAAGCACUGGUCGUCAGGGAGCUCCUCCCCUUGGCCCCCAGCCUGUGCCAGCCCUGGCCCGGCUGCCACACCUCUGUUUCCUAGGCUGGGGACCCAGCUUGUCUCUCCUUGUUUCUUCCCACUGCACUGUGGUGCUUCAGUGGCCACCAGCCUCGUCACAUACACCAGC